AGGUCGAGCAUCUUCGACGCCAAGGCCGGGAUUGCCCUGAACGACCACUUCAUCAAGCUCGUCUCUUGGUACGACAACGAGUGGGGCUACAGCAACCGCGUCGUCGACCUGAUCCGCCACAUGUUCAAGACCCAGUAGAGAGAGAUAUUUCUGCCUCCCUAUCGUGGGUCGUCCCCAAUGGCCUUUGGUCGCAGACCAUCUUUGCUGCUUGUCUAUGCUGAGAAUAAAUGUGAACGGUGCCCCUGGACGCUGGAUCCAUGCUGGUUUUGGACACGUUGUCUUUUUGUGUUUAACUUAUCUGCUACCGUCCUGU
Molecule: long non-coding RNA, 313 nt
Filed under: Zea mays
Lineage: Eukaryota; Viridiplantae; Streptophyta; Magnoliopsida; Poales; Poaceae
Description: long non-coding RNA (ZMAY_LNC003545)
Source: RNAcentral